AUUGAACGCUGGCGGCAGGCUUAACACAUGCAAGUCGAACGGCAGCGGGGGAGAAGCUUGCUUUUCCUGCCGGCGAGUGGCGAACGGGUGAGUAAUACAUCGGAACGUGCCCUGUAGUGGGGGAUAACUAGUCGAAAGAUUAGCUAAUACCGCAUACGACCUGAGGGUGAAAGUGGGGGACCGCAAGGCCUCAUGCUAUAGGAGCGGCCGAUGUCUGAUUAGCUAGUUGGUGGGGUAAAGGCCUACCAAGGCGACGAUCAGUAGCUGGUCUGAGAGGACGAUCAGCCACACUGGGACUGAGACACGGCCCAGACUCCUACGGGAGGCAGCAGUGGGGAAUUUUGGACAAUGGGCGAAAGCCUGAUCCAGCAAUGCCGCGUGUGUGAAGAAGGCCUUCGGGUUGUAAAGCACUUUUGUCCGGAAAGAAAUGGCUCUGGUUAAUACCUGGGGUCGAUGACGGUACCGGAAGAAUAAGGACCGGCUAACUACGUGCCAGCAGCCGCGGUAA
Molecule: ribosomal RNA, 508 nt
Filed under: uncultured bacterium
Lineage: Bacteria
Description: partial 16S ribosomal RNA
Rfam family: Bacterial small subunit ribosomal RNA
Source: RNAcentral